RNAcentral lists this ribosomal RNA (496 nucleotides) under uncultured bacterium. RNAcentral's name for it is "partial 16S ribosomal RNA". It matches the Rfam family "Bacterial small subunit ribosomal RNA", at positions 29 to 507 of the family's 1533-position model. The record is from RNAcentral.
ACGAACGCUGGCGGCGUGCCUAAUACAUGCAAGUUGAGCGCUGAAGGUUGGUACUUGUACCAACUGGAUGAGCAGCGAACGGGUGAGUAACGCGUGGGGAAUCUGCCUUUGAGCGGGGGACAACAUUUGGAAACGAAUGCUAAUACCGCAUAAAAACUUUAAACACAAGUUUUAAGUUUGAAAGAUGCAAUUGCAUCACUCAAAGAUGAUCCCGCGUUGUAUUAGCUAGUUGGUGAGGUAAAGGCUCACCAAGGCGAUGAUACAUAGCCGACCUGAGAGGGUGAUCGGCCACAUUGGGACUGAGACACGGCCCAAACUCCUACGGGAGGCAGCAGUAGGGAAUCUUCGGCAAUGGACGAAAGUCUGACCGAGCAACGCCGCGUGAGUGAAGAAGGUUUUCGGAUCGUAAAACUCUGUUGGUAGAGAAGAACGUUGGUGAGAGUGGAAAGCUCACCAAGUGACGGUAACUACCCAGAAAGGGACGGCUAACUACGUG